AUGAACGCUGGCGGCGUGCCUAAUACCUGCAAGUCGAGCGAACAGACGAGGAGCUUGCUCCUCUGACGUUAGCGGCGGACGGGUGAGUAACACGUGGAUAACCUACCUAUAAGACUGGGAUAACUUCGGGAAACCGGAGCUAAUACCGGAUAAUAUAUUGAACCGCAUGGUUCAAUAGUGAAAGACGGUUUUGCUGUCACUUAUAGAUGGAUCCGCGCCGCAUUAGCUAGUUGGUAAGGUAACGGCUUACCAAGGCAACGAUGCGUAGCCGACCUGAGAGGGUGAUCGGCCACACUGGAACUGAGACAGGGUCCAGACUCCUACGGGAGGCAGCAGUAGGGAAUCUUCCGCAAUGGGCGAAAGCCUGACGGAGCAACGCCGCGUGAGUGAUGAAGGUCUUCGGAUCGUAAAACUCUGUUAUUAGGGAAGAACAAAUGUGUAAGUAACUAUGCACGUCUUGACGGUACCUAAUCAGAAAGCCACGGCUAACUACGUG
RNAcentral lists this ribosomal RNA (496 nucleotides) under uncultured bacterium. RNAcentral describes it as "partial 16S ribosomal RNA". It matches the Rfam family "Bacterial small subunit ribosomal RNA", at positions 29 to 507 of the family's 1533-position model. The record is from RNAcentral.